AUUGAACGCUGGCGGCAUGCUUUACACAUGCAAGUCGAACGGCAGCGCGGGCUUCGGCCUGGCGGCGAGUGGCGAACGGGUGAGUAAUGCAUCGGAACGUGCCCAGUAGUGGGGGAUAGCCCGGCGAAAGCCGGAUUAAUACCGCAUACGACCUGAGGGUGAAAGCGGGGGACCGAAAGGCCUCGCGCUAUUGGAGCGGCCGAUGUCGGAUUAGGCAGUUGGUGGGGUAAAGGCUUACCAAGGCGACGAUCCGUAGCUGGUCUGAGAGGAGGACCAGCCACACUGGGACUGAGACACGGCCCAGACUCCUACGGGAGGCAGCAGUGGGGAAUUUUGGACAAUGGGGGCAACCCUGAUCCAGCCAUGCCGCGUGCGGGAAGAAGGCCUUCGGGUUGUAAACCGCUUUUGUUCGGGAAGAAAUCCUCUGGGCUAAUACCCCGGGGGGAUGACGGUACCGGAAGAAUAAGCACCGGCUAACUACGUG
This 484-nucleotide ribosomal RNA is filed under the name uncultured bacterium. RNAcentral's name for it is "partial 16S ribosomal RNA". It matches the Rfam family "Bacterial small subunit ribosomal RNA", at positions 28 to 507 of the family's 1533-position model. The record is from RNAcentral.